This 269-nucleotide ribosomal RNA is filed under the name uncultured prokaryote. RNAcentral's name for it is "partial 16S ribosomal RNA". It matches the Rfam family "Bacterial small subunit ribosomal RNA", at positions 524 to 792 of the family's 1533-position model. The record is from RNAcentral.
UACGGAGGAUUCGAGCGUUAUCCGGAUUUAUUGGGUUUAAAGGGUCCGUAGGCGGUUCUUUAAGUCAGUGGUGAAAUCCCAGAGCUCAACUCUGGAACUGCCAUUGAAACUGAAGAACUUGAAUAUGGUUGAGGUAGGCGGAAUACGUUAUGUAGCGGUGAAAUGCAUAGAUAUAACGUAGAACACCAAUUGCGAAGGCAGCUUACUAAGCCAUUAUUGACGCUGAUGGACGAAAGCGUGGGGAGCGAACAGGAUUAGAUACCCUCGUA